UACGGAGGGGCUACGCGUGUUCGGUGAAUUACUGGGCGUAAAGCGCGCGUAGGCGGACCUGCAAGUCGGGGGUGAAAGCCCGAGGCUCAACCUCGGAACUGCCUUCGAUACUGCGGGUCUCGAGUCCGGGAGAGGUGAGUGGAAUUCCUAGUGUAGAGGUGAAAUUCGUAGAUAUUAGGAAGAACACCAGUGGCGAAGGCGGCUCACUGGCCCGGUACUGACGCUGAGGCGCGAAAGCGUGGGGAGCAAACAGG
Molecule: ribosomal RNA, 254 nt
Filed under: uncultured bacterium
Lineage: Bacteria
Description: partial 16S ribosomal RNA
Rfam family: Bacterial small subunit ribosomal RNA
Source: RNAcentral